GAUGAAGAACGCAGCGAAAUGCGAUAAGUAAUGUGAAUUACAGAAUUCAGUGAAUCAUCGAAUCUUUGAACGCACAUUGCGCCCUCUGGUAUUCCGGGGGGCAUGCCUGUUCGAGCGUCAUUAUAACCACUCAAGCUCUCGCUUGGUAUUGGGGUUCGCGGUUCCGCGGCCCCUAAAAUCAGUGGCGGUGCCUGUCGGCUCUACGCGUAGUAAUACUCCUCGCGAUUGAGUCCGGUAGGUCUACUUGCCAGCAACCCCCAAUUUUUACAGGUUGACCUCGGAUCAGGUAGGGAUACCCGCUGAACUUAAGCAUAUCAAUAAGCGGAGGA
This 329-nucleotide unclassified non-coding RNA is filed under the name soil metagenome. Its description in RNAcentral is "partial contains 5.8S ribosomal RNA, internal transcribed spacer 2, and large subunit ribosomal RNA". The stretch from base 1 to 120 matches the Rfam family "5.8S ribosomal RNA", at positions 35 to 154 of the family's 154-position model. The record is from RNAcentral.